GGGAAGGCAUGGCCCUGACCUUAGAGGCCCCAAUUUGGCGAUGGGGCAUCACAUCCCUCCGGGCAUCUCAGAGCUGCCUGCCCGAGGGAGGCGACGCAGAUGGAAAGCCCCCCAGCCACGUCUCUCAGAGGAAACGGGUCUCCUCUUUGGCCAGCCAGGUCCUCUUCCCCCGGGUGCCGCCUGGCUGUGCGACCCGGCAGUCCUCCCGCCUCUCCGGGCCUCAGCCUCCUCUCCUGGACAGUCCCGUGGGCUUCCGGGAGCCCGGUGUCACACCGCCCCGCGUGUCGCAGGUGGUCAUCGUGGUGACAGACGGGAGGCCCCAGGACAGCGUGCAGGACGUGUCUGCGCGGGCCCGGGCCAGCGGCGUCGAGCUGUUCGCCAUCGGAGUGGGCCGCGUGGACAAGGCCACGCUGCGGCAGAUCGCCAGCGAGCCGCAGGACGAACACGUCGAUUACGUGGAGAGCUACAGCGUCAUCGAGAAGCUGUCCAGGAAGUUCCAGGAGGCCUUCUGCGUGGUGUCAGACCUGUGCGCCACAGGGGACCAUGACUGUGAGCAGGUGUGCAUCAGCUCCCCGGGAUCCUACACCUGCGCCUGCCACGAGGGCUUCACUCUGAACAGCGAUGGCAAGACCUGCAAUGUCUGCAGUGGUGGUGGUGGCAGCUCGGCUACUGACCUGGUCUUCCUCAUUGACGGAUCCAAGAGUGUGAGGCCAGAGAACUUUGAGCUGGUGAAGAAGUUCAUCAAUCAGAUCGUGGAUACGCUGGACGUGUCAGACAAGCUGGCCCAGGUGGGGCUGGUGCAGUACUCAAGCUCUGUGCGCCAGGAGUUCCCCCUGGGUCGCUUCCACACCAAGAAGGACAUCAAGGCGGCUGUGCGGAAUAUGUCCUACAUGGAGAAGGGCACAAUGACCGGGGCUGCUCUCAAGUACCUCAUUGACA
RNAcentral lists this small RNA (939 nucleotides) under Pan troglodytes (chimpanzee). Its description in RNAcentral is "processed transcript". Lineage: Eukaryota; Metazoa; Chordata; Mammalia; Primates; Hominidae. The record is from RNAcentral.